This 329-nucleotide ribosomal RNA is filed under the name uncultured eukaryote. Its description in RNAcentral is "partial 18S ribosomal RNA". It matches the Rfam family "Eukaryotic small subunit ribosomal RNA", at positions 1470 to 1796 of the family's 1831-position model. The record is from RNAcentral.
CCCUUAGAUGUUCUGGGCCGCACGCGCGCUACACUGAUGCAUUCAACGAGUCUAAAACCUGCUCUGAUAGGGGUGGGUAAUCUUUUGAAUGUGCAUCGUGAUUGGGAUAGAUGAUUGCAAUUUUUCGUCCUCAACGAGGAAUGCCUAGUAAACGCAAGUCAUCAGCUUGCAUUGAUUACGUCCCUGCCCUUUGUACACACCGCCCGUCGCUCCUACCGAUUGAAUGAUCCGAUGAAUAUCAUGGAUUGAGGAUGCAAGCAGGUUCGCCUGUCUUCAUCUUCGAGAAGUGAAGUAAAUCUUAUCAUUUAGAGGAAGGAGAAGUCGUAACA